Triticum aestivum (bread wheat) is the source of this 128-nucleotide non-coding RNA. The record is from Rfam. Lineage: Eukaryota; Viridiplantae; Streptophyta; Magnoliopsida; Poales; Poaceae.
CAACUACUCCCUCUGUCCCAAAUUUCUUGUCUUAGAUAUGUCUAGAUACGGAUGUACUAAAAUGUGACUUGAUACAUCCGUAUCUAGACAGAUCCAAGAAAGGAAUUUUGGGACGGAGCGAGUACUUU